GAGGAAUAUUGGGCAAUGCCCGCAAGGGUGACCCAGCAACGCCGCGUGGAGGAUGAAGGUCGUAAGAUCGUAAACUCCUGUUAGAGGGGAAGAACAGUACCGAUUGGAUCGGUGUUUGACUGUACCCUCAGAGAAAGCCCCGGCUAACUACGUGCCAGCAGCCGCGGUAAUACGUAGGGGGCAAGCGUUGUCCGGAUUUACUGGGUGUAAAGGGCGCGCAGGCGGGAUAGCAAGUCAGAGGUGAAAUCCUACAGCUUAACUGUAGAACUGCCUUUGAUACUGUUAUUCUUGAGUUCGGGAGAGAGAGACGGAAUUCCAGGUGUAGUGGUGAAAUACGUAGAUAUCUGGAAGAACACCAGUUGCGAAGGCGGUCUCUUGGUCCGAUACUGACGCUGAGGCGCGAAAGCGUGGGGAGCAAAC
RNAcentral lists this ribosomal RNA (420 nucleotides) under uncultured bacterium. Its description in RNAcentral is "bacterial SSU rRNA". It matches the Rfam family "Bacterial small subunit ribosomal RNA", at positions 356 to 773 of the family's 1533-position model. The record is from RNAcentral.